Molecule: ribosomal RNA, 328 nt
Filed under: uncultured bacterium
Lineage: Bacteria
Description: bacterial SSU rRNA
Rfam family: Bacterial small subunit ribosomal RNA
Source: RNAcentral
CAUGUAGGCGGCCUUAUAAGCCUGGCGUGAAAGUCACCGGCUCAACCGGUGGAUUGCGCUGGGAACUGUAGGGCUUGAGUCAUGGAGAGGAAGGCAGAAUUCCUGGUGUAGGGGUGAAAUCUGUAGAGAUCAGGAAGAAUACCAGUGGCGAAGGCGGCCUUCUGGCCAAUGACUGACGCUGAGGUGCGAAAGUGUGGGGAUCAAACAGGAUUAGAUACCCUGGUAGUCCACACUGUAAACGAUGUGCACUAGGUGCUGGGGCGGAUGCUUCAGUGCCGGAGCUAACGCGGUAAGUGCACCGCCUGGGGAGUAUGCUCGCAAGGGUGAA